GCGGUGGAGCAUGUGGUUUAAUUCGAAGCAACGCGAAGAACCUUACCAGGUCUUGACAUCUAGUGCCAUCCUAAGAGAUUAGGAGUUCCCUUCGGGGACGCUAAGACAGGUGGUGCAUGGCUGUCGUCAGCUCGUGUCGUGAGAUGUUGGGUUAAGUCCCGCAACGAGCGCAACCCUUAUUAUUAGUUGCCAGCAUUAAGUUGGGCACUCUAAUGAGACUGGCGGUGACAAACCGGAGAAAGG
Molecule: ribosomal RNA, 243 nt
Filed under: uncultured bacterium
Lineage: Bacteria
Description: partial 16S ribosomal RNA
Rfam family: Bacterial small subunit ribosomal RNA
Source: RNAcentral